UUUUGCCAGUAGGAAGUAAUAAAGGGAGACUGGAGGCAGAGGAGAGCAAGACACUUCUUUCCUGUGUCUUGUUAUUAACACCACCCAGGGGAAGAGGUUUGGUCCAGCCUCCAACUUAUUUUAGCACUUUCAGAACCAGCCUCAUUGUACCCCUUCAGAGAAGCUGCCAGCAGCCAUAUCCUUGAUGUUAAAAACAGGGAUGCUUGCACUGGAGUUCUUGAAAAAAAAAAAUACCAAGUUCACUAGGCUUUAAAUUGUUAGUGCAAGUCUUAGUCAUAAAAAGCUUCUAAAAUCCUUAUAAAAUAAUUAAUAAAGUAUAAUUUAAUUCUAUACAUUGCACAAUUACCAAAAUAAAAAACCCUUGGAUUUAUAGAUUCAUUACAUUUUACAAAUGAAACCUAGAAGUUCUGUGAAAAGACUGGGUUCCUGAGACUUUGAAUGGGGUAUCUAGAAAAACCUGAAUGAAGCUGAGAAUACUGAAUCCCCACAUCUUUUUUUUUUUUUUUUUUUUUUGAGAUGGAGUCUCACCCUGUCACUCAGGCUGGAGUGCAAUGGCAUGAUCUCAGCUCACUGCGACCUUCGCCUCCCGGGAUCAAGCAAUUCUCCUGCCUCAGCCUCCUGAAUAGCUGGGAUUACAGGUGUGCGCCACCAAGCCCAGUUGCUUAUUGCAAGAAAGAGAAGAGACAAACUCAGAUGAAGAUUACUUCAUUCUCACAAGACCAGCUGAACAAACCACCAGCAUCUGGACAUACAUUUUUGAUCUCCU
Molecule: long non-coding RNA, 766 nt
Filed under: Homo sapiens (human)
Lineage: Eukaryota; Metazoa; Chordata; Mammalia; Primates; Hominidae
Description: HSALNT0300773
Source: RNAcentral